This 468-nucleotide ribosomal RNA is filed under the name uncultured bacterium. RNAcentral describes it as "partial 16S ribosomal RNA". It matches the Rfam family "Bacterial small subunit ribosomal RNA", at positions 28 to 507 of the family's 1533-position model. The record is from RNAcentral.
GACGAACGCUGGCGGCGUGCUUAACACAUGCAAGUCGAACGGAAAGGCCCUGCUUUUGUGGGGUGCUCGAGUGGCGAACGGGUGAGUAACACGUGAGUAACCUGCCCUUGACUUUGGGAUAACUUCAGGAAACUGGGGCUAAUACCGGAUAGGAUCUCCUGCUGCAUGGUGGGGGUUGGAAAGUUUCGGCGGUUGGGGAUGGACUCGCGGCUUAUCAGCUUGUUGGUGGGGUAGUGGCUUACCAAGGCUUUGACGGGUAGCCGGCCUGAGAGGGUGACCGGCCACAUUGGGACUGAGAUACGGCCCAGACUCCUACGGGAGGCAGCAGUGGGGAAUAUUGCACAAUGGGCGGAAGCCGGAUGCAGCAACGCCGCGUGCGGGAUGACGGCCUUCGGGUUGUAAACCGCUUUCGCCUGUGACGAAGCGUGAGUGACGGUAAUGGGUAAAGAAGCACCGGCUAACUACGUG